RNAcentral lists this small nuclear RNA (18 nucleotides) under Arabidopsis thaliana (thale cress). RNAcentral describes it as "snRNA_14423". The record is from RNAcentral. Lineage: Eukaryota; Viridiplantae; Streptophyta; Magnoliopsida; Brassicales; Brassicaceae.
CCUCAUCUUCAUCAACCA